CGGAUAGAAAUUCCAGUACAAUGUUAAGUACUAGUGGUGAAAGUAGGUAUUCUUGUCUUGUUUUUAAUCUUGGGAAAGAGCUUUCGGUUUUUCGCCACUGAGUAGUUGUGGGUUUUUCAUUUAAAGCCCUUUAGCAUAUUGAGGAAGUUCCCUUCUGUUACAAACUUUCUGCAUUUUUUUAAAUCAUGAAAUGUUAUUGAUGUUUUAAGUGUUUUUUCUGCAUCAGGUGAGGUAAUCAGGCGAUUUUUUUCCUUUACUGUAGUAUGUGAUGUAUCAUAAUGAUUGCUUUUCAUACAUUAAUUUACUCUUCCAUUCCUGUAAUAAGACCCAGUGGUCAUGAUUUGUCAUCAUUUUAAUGUGUACCUGGAAUUGGAAUUGGGUUGAAGUUUUGCAUCUACAUUCAUAAGAACUGUUAGUGUAUUGGUUUUUAAAAAUUUUCCUAUAAUGCUUUUGUCUGGCUUCAGUAUCUGAGUAAUGAAUGUCAACUUCUAUUUUUCUUUUUUGAAAAAUUUUAGAAGGAUUGGUGUUAAUUCUUCAUUAAAUGUUUGAUAAAACUCAAUAGCAAAGCUAUCUUACCCUGAUCAUUUCUUGGCUGGGAAGAUUUUGAUUACUUAUUCAAUAUUUAUACUUGUUAUGUAUCUAUUCAUAUUUUCUGGGUUUGUUUCAGAGUCAGUUUCAGUAUUUAGUGUGUUUCUAAAAAGGCAUCAAUUUCAUCCGUAUUAUUUACUUUAUUGGUGUAAUAUAUGUUCAUAGUACUCUCUUAUAAUCUCUUUUUUAAAUUCCUGUAAGUUCAUGAAUAAAGUACUCACAAUUUCUGGUUUUAGUACUUUGAAUCUUCUCUUUUGUUUGUGGUCAGUCUAGCUAAAUAAUUGUCAAUUGGUUGAUCUUUUCAAAUAACCAACUUUUGGUUGUAUUGCUUGUUUUCAUAUUCUGUUUCAUUAAUCGCUAUCUUUACUAUUUUCUACUGCUUGCUCUGUGUAUAGUUUGCUCUUCUUUUUCUAUUUUAUUUUAGUCAAAAGUUAGGCUAUUGGUUUGAUAUCUGUUUUCUAUUAGAUAAGGUUUCACCAUGCUGACCAGGCUGCUCUUGAACUCCUGGGCUCAAGUGAUCCACCUCCCUUGGCCUCUCAAAAUGCUGGGAUUGCAGACGAGCCACCAUGUCCGGUCACUGUUUUCUAUUUUGAAUGUAGGAACUUACAGCUAUAAAUUUCCAAUGUAGCAAUGAUUUCAUCACAUUUCAUAAAUUUUGAUAUAUUGUGUUUUUGUUUCCAUUCAUCUAAACUAAUUUAUCUUAAAAUUUCUUUUCGUGACCUAUUACGUGUUUAAGGAUAUUUUUCCUAUAUCUGUGCUUUUUUUUCAUUUUUAGUUUCACUUUAUUCAACAUAACUUGAAAAAGUUGCUUUGUAUUAUUUCAGUAUCCUUAAUUGUUUUGAGACUUGUUUGUUUGGCCUAGCGAUCUAUCCUGGAUGCUGUUUCAUGUGUACCUGAGAAAAACAUAUUUUCUGAUGUUUGAUGGACUGUCCUACAUAUGUGUGCAUGUGUUAGGUCUACUUUGUUUGUAGUGUUGUUCAAGUCUUCUAUUUUCUUGUUGCUAUUUAGUUUUUCUAUCCAUUAUUGAAAAUGGAGUAUUAUGUUUAUUGUGGCACUAUUCACAAUAGCAAAGACUUGGAAUCAACCCAAAUGUCCAUCAGUGACAGACUGGAUUAAGAAAAUGUGGCACAUAUACACCAUGGAAUACUAUGCAGCCAUAAAAAAGAAUGAGUU
This 1761-nucleotide long non-coding RNA is filed under the name Macaca fascicularis (crab-eating macaque). RNAcentral's name for it is "lncRNA (ENSMFAG00000060003.1)". The record is from RNAcentral. Lineage: Eukaryota; Metazoa; Chordata; Mammalia; Primates; Cercopithecidae.